CUGCUGCCUUCCGUAGGAGUUUGGACCGUGUCUCAGUUCCAAUGUGGGGGACCUUCCUCUCAGAACCCCUACGCAUCGUCGGCUUGGUGGGCCGUGCCCCACCAACUACCUAAUGCGCCGCAUGCCCAUCCGUGACCGGGGUCGCCCCCUUUGGCCGGCAGGGGAUGUCCCCUCCCGGCAUUAUGUUGUAUUAGGCGGGAUUUCUCCCGGUUAUCCAUCUGUCACGGCCAGGUUGCAUACGUGUUACUCACCCGUGCGCCGNGUCGCCGG
RNAcentral lists this ribosomal RNA (270 nucleotides) under uncultured bacterium. Its description in RNAcentral is "partial 16S ribosomal RNA". The record is from RNAcentral.